CGGUCCUGGUCUGCGACCCCGGCGGCGGUGGCCGGGGGCAGACCCUGACUUGCUGGACCUUGGUUUGUGUGUCUGCGACGUGAGUGGAUUCAGCGGAUCGUCUCCUGAGGUCACCCCUGGUUUUAGCUUUCGGGUCGUUUGUGACUGCCGAGGCCAAGGGGAAGGGAGGCCGAUGGGGGGGAAGGGACACGAGACAGGAGGAGAGGGUGAGUGAGGAGGGGAUCCCGGGGCGGGGGUGGGGGGGUGCAGCGUGGCGUGUGCGCCCCCCUCCUGCCUCCUGGACAUGCUUGUUAAAUGAUGGAGCCACAGCUGAGCAGGGAGCCCUCAGCCACGCAUCUCAAAACGGGGGAGUCUCAGCAUUUAUUUCAAAGACGGAGCCAGCACUUUCUAAGGAUGGCAGUGACCUAAUCCAUCCUCAUGACACUGACAUCAGUGCUGAGAAGACCCCCGUCUCCCUGGCACAUGCCCCCUGCGGCUCAGAGAGGUCAGGUCUCUGUCCAGCGGGAAGGCAGAAACGCCAAGGUUCAAUCCGACGUCCGCUUUAUUGCGAAUCCUGUGCUUUUCACCCCUGGCCGCUGGCUGCGACCCGACACCCUCACGGAGGAGGAGGGCUCCUUUUGCCCUCGGGCUCAGCAGCAUGGUCCACUUCUCCGCCUCCCCUUCAUCCUGGUAUUUUUUAUUCUCCAUCCUUUGGAACAAGCACCGCGGUCAUAAAGGAAAGCAGAAGGGAGGGCGGGCGUUGAGAAGCCUCCCUCCUGCCCGCCUGGUACCACACUCCCCGACCCUGCUUCCUGGUGCCUGUGGGCUCCUUUCUCUUUGCAAAAACAGGAACUUAGAAAUGCGUGUUCUUGUUUCCUACUUUCUUACCCCAAAGUUGGCACACCAAAUUAGACCAUGCUUGGCACUUACUCUGUCAUUACUCAGCGAUGUGUCCGGAAAAUACUGUGAUUUUAGUUCCCAGGGAGCUUCCUCAUUCCUUCUCACGGGGACAGGCGGUUCCACCGGGUGGGGUAAGUCAUCGGUUUACUUAGCCAGGUCCUCGGAUCCGGCCACUAGGCGGUUUCCAUGUGUUUCAGAAUCACAGACAACGCCUUCCGGGAGUCACCUUGCAGAGGUCUGUGCCCACCCGUCAGCUGUAGCCCCAGGAGCGGGUCACUGAGGCAGGGGAAAGUCCAUCUGACAUCUUGCUGGCCGUGACCCUCAUAUGGGCAGUUGAGUAGACCCACUGAGAAAGGAGAACCGUGUUGGCCUCCGUGGCUCCCGGACAACAGAGUGUUUUGUCGAACUUUUGUCUUUUUUCCAAUCUGAUCGAGGAAAACUUAUAUCCUUGUGUAGUUUUACUGCUCGUGUCUCUGACUGUGAUGCUUGCGUGUCUUUUGGACCACAUGUAUUUCUUAUUCUGUGAACCGCCCAUGACCUCGGCCCAUUUUUCUGUUGGUCCUGUGGUCUUUCUUGCUUUCAUCUCUGAGACCUCUUCAUAUAUUUUGGAGAACAACACUUUUCUGUGUCGUGAGGUACAAAUAUUUCCCCUAGUUUUUGCCCUUUGUUCCCCACUCUGUGUUGUGCUUUGGUUUUGGCUUCUCUGUGGACACUGCUGUUGUCUACAUUUGCAAUUGUUAAUCUCUGCUUUUUGGCUGCUGGAUUUUGAGACAUGGUUUGACAUGUCAAUCGACUCCGAUGUUAUUCUGUCAAAGUUCCAACAGGAAUGACACGGCACACUCAAAUUAGGGUGAUUUUAAGGCGGGGGUUACGUACAAAGGGACUACUGACAAGGGCCUGGGCAAGUUUUAGGGGCGUCCCAGGGGCAGUGCGAGAACGGGGGCCCAGCAGCAACCGAGAUGCAUCACCCCUGGGCCCCUGGGGAUGAGGGGACGGAGGAGUUAUGCAGCCUGGCAGGAGAGAGUUGUGUAGGCCAGGCCUCCUAGAGAGGGGCCCUCGUCUGCGGAGGAAACCAGGAACGGAACACCCUGCCCUCACGUCCCUGCUUCCCUCCUGUCUGGUCGUGGCUGUUGGGAGAAGCCUGCUGGCAGCGUCCAUGUGGGCAGCCGUCCAGGGCACAAAAUGAGGGGUGAGUGGUCCGAGCUCUGUGGGGCGGGUGUUGGGGAGAAGAGGCGGGACCCACUUCCAGACCCCGUCAGCAGCACUUACGGGGUCUUACUUUUACAUUUACAACUUUGUCCCGGUGGAGUUUCUCUGGAUGUACUAUGUGUGGCGUGGGUCCUGCUUCUCCGACAACUAUCCACGUGCCCCUACGCUGCUUAUCACAAAAUCCACCUUUACCCACAUUGGUCAUAUAUUAACGUCCCAUGUGCACGUGGCUCUAUUUUUGGACUUCCUCUUUUGUUCCACUGGGCUGUCCAUUCAUAUUCUGUAUUCAUCACCAAGGCCUUGUGAUGGGCUUUAAGAACCGGGAAGACCAAUCCCUCCUCAUUUUUCUUCUAUUUCAGGGUUUUCCUGGGCUACCUUGCUUGUUUAUUUUCAGUGGAUUUGUUUGUCUACUUCUGAAGGAAGGAAACUUGUUAGGACAUUUAGGGAGAUUAUGUUAAAUUUAUACACUUAUUAACUGAGGACUCACAUCUUUAGAACAUAGCUGAUUUCUGCUUUAAAACAAUGAUUUGUCAAGAGACCUGGCUGUUCCUGGGUUUUGGCACCGCCAGCAAGCAAAGAAAGAAACCUGACAGACACGACCUUGCCAGUUUUCCCAGGGGACCUGCCGGAGUAGAUCACAUGCACACAGCCCUGGCCUCGGGCCCUGCUUCUGGGAAGCCUGACGUGAGAUGACCACUAACACAGUCCAAGAAAUGACCGAACGCGGGAGAAACCUACCCUCAGGACUUAGAGGCCAUCCACGCAUCUGAGCCUCCCGGGAGCCUCCAGCUGACCCUGCUUCCCGGUGGGAAGGAGGAGGGCUUUCUGCUGCGCCCUCUGAAGAGCGACCAGCAAGGGCAGAGGCGGCCGGGAUGGAGAGGGGCACGCCUGGCGGAGGUUCUGGUCCCUGACCCGUGUGCUGAGCCUCAGACGGUGGAGCCAGACGCGACGGUGAUGCUCCGUGACCAUGUGGGACACGUCACAGCUGGGUGUCUGGCGCGUCCUGGCAAUGGCCUGUCUCUGCAGGUCUGAGAAGCACCACAACGUUCUUUACAAGGUUGACACGGGAGCUGGGCCCUCGCACAUCAGCCCCGUCCUCCCUGCAUCUUAAGUCUGAGCUCUGAUGGGACUUCUGUACCAAGAGCGAAUUAACAGGGUAAAUGAUGUUCAACUAAAGAGUUCAACCAGCACACUGUGAUGUAGCCGAGCUCGUGUCCGAGCAGAGGACCAUCCACACAGGGGGUCACAGUGGAACAGCCAGGCCUGCUGAGGGAAGUUCCCUGCUCCCCAUCGUCCCCCCUCUCUUCCCAUCCCCCUCCCUCCCCCUCCCCCUCCCUCCCCAUCCCCCCUCCCUCCCCACCGCCUCCAUCCCCUUCACCCCCCGCCCUCCCUCCCCAUUCCCCUCCCUCCCCUCCCUCCCCCUCCCCCUCCCCCUCCCUCCCCCUCCCCUCCCUCCCAUUACCUCCCCACAGGCUACCCUGUAUCUCUCCUUACUCCCUAUCGUCCCCCUUCCCCCCAACUUCUCUGCAAACCGAGGGAGCAGGAGUAAUGCAGCCGAGCGCGGCCUUUCUGCAGCGAGUCCCACAGACCAGAGAACCUUCCAGAAGAGGUCACGGUGCUCUGCGGCCUAAAGAUGCAGGAGGCCAGAUUGCUCAUUUCCUUCGUUCAAGAGCUCCACUGGGGCCGGUGUGUCUGUCCUCUGCCCCUGGACCAUAACUGGGAGUCGGAUAAGAGCCUCCGCUCCCGUAAUCCCCAGGGAGUCCUCCACGAUGAAGCUCCUGCCGCCGUCCCCGGCCCUGCCCGGGGCACCCUGGCUGCAGUGUGACCACCCAUAGCCAACGUGUGGAAGGAAGUGAGCUUUCCCUUCCCAAACAGUCUCCGGGGGCAUCACUAUCAGCUGACUGGUUCACACCUUGGACAUUGCAAAGUAAAGCACUUGACAGCAUCACAAAUUCGCGUGGUUAUGCGCAGGGACCACUCUCCAAGGAGGCAAAAAAAUAGCCCUGGGCUGGGACAGGACGCUGUCCCCCCGUGGGAAGCCGUGGUCUAUCUGGGCAUCCAUCUGUCUUCUCCUCCGUGGAGAGAGCGCUGGGCACAGUGACCUCCGAGGUCCAGCCAGCUUGAAACCCGUCACUUGACAACUACGGGAGAGUUUAAAUGAGUAUGUACUUUUCUCCACCCUCCCCGCAGUUCUUCUUAGCUUACAAAAUGAGGAAAUCAAACCAAACCUGGACACAAAAUCCCACCCUGGGGUCAAGAUAUUUGUAGAGUGUGUAUCGGCUCCAGCCCUCGACCUUGGCCACCAGUGUCUGUGCUUCCCUCUCCUGAGCAAAUGGUCCUGAUACUCACGAGGGACACAGCUGUUUCCUGCCCACCUUCCACCAGAGUUCUGCAACCUCCGUGCCUGCUGCGUUAACACCUCUCUGGGGGAUGACGGACGGGACAUUGCGGGGAUCGGAGCAAAGGUGAGCCAGAGCCGGACAUCCCAGCGAGUGGCUCUUCAGGCAGAAGGGAGCACUGGGGUCCUGACGGGCUUGGUGGGUGAGUCAGCCCAGGGACGGCAGACACAGCCUGUCAGGUCCCGGAUCUGUAAGUGAGCAGAACAUCGACUGCACUGGGGCAGGGAGGGAGGGGGAGAGCCAUUCACACCCGAUGGGUGCAGAUCAAAAGGCAUGAGGCAGGCAGCCCCGGCUUUCCUUCCCAAGGGCCUGUGAGUAAGAGCUGAGGCCAGCUCCGUGCUAAACCUGAGUCCCCUGUGCUGCCCUCCAAGCAGGGUGGAGGCGAGCUGGCGUGGGAGGGGAGGGCGGACAGUGGACAUCACGGCGGGUCACAGUCUGUGGGUGUCCAGCGCGCCUGGCGGCAUCUGUCAGCAUCUGCUUACUUCUGAGCCAGGCUGCAUUCAACAGAGCAAGGCUGCAUCUGCAUGGAAGGGGCUGAGCCCCAGGAGCUGGCGGCUAUCACCCCUGGCUUCUUACAAGCAGAUUCUCUGGUCUGAGGAUGAAAUCACUAUGUUGCCAGAGAACACGGCUUUAGGUCAGGGGACAUGAUAUACACUCCAGAGAAGAAGAAGGGAAUUCAUUUUCCUUUUCUGCACAGGGUUCAGCCCAGCUGUGGACAGAUGUGCCCUCUCCCCGUCAGCUCCGUCUGGAAUUAACCUCCCGGAGUCAGACUGUUGGGUGCAAAAGAGAAAUGAAACAAUGUAGUCCUUGGAAACUGGACGCCAUGUACCUCCAAGGGUGUGAGAUUCCAGAGGGCAUACGGGCACUGGCUUAGUUGUAUGUUAUCUAGUACAACACGCUGCAUAAUUAGCAACAAAAUAAUCCAAUUUAGCAAAUCUAUGUACCGAGCAUGCUGCUAGCUGCCAGGGCUUCAAAUAUAACUAGGUCUCUGGCUUAUUGAUACACUUUCUGAUGGUUUUGACGGUUGUCAGGGAGGAACUUAGUAUUAGAAUUGCUUCAUGGGACAACCUCUUAAGCAGUCACUGGGGUCUUUAAAAGAAUACAAAUCAUUACGUUUAAAAUUUAUUUAUUUUAUAAAAGGACAAAAAUAAACUAAAGUUGUUGAGACUUAAAUGUUUCUUUACCACAAAAGAGAUUAUUCCUCUUAGUAUAAGAGAUUACAGAAGAUUGAGUGCACGUGCACGCACGCCUACAGUGGUCUAUACUGUACGUCUCGACGUUAGGAAGAAUAGAUCUUCUCCUUCCAAAUGCUGCUUCCAUUUUCUCUCUUCUUCCUCUUCAUUUUAUUGUUGUAUUAUUAUUGUUGGUUGAAUUGAGUUUCCCCAAAAGACACGUCCGAGUCCUAAGCCCUGGUACCUGUGAAUGUGACUUCCUUUGGAAAUAGGGUAUUUGCAGAUGUAAUCACGUUAAAAUGAGGUCAUAUUGGAUUGUAAGUAGUGGGCUCUAAUCCAGUGAUUGGUGUCCUUACAACGAGAGGGACAUUUUGACACAGACACACAGAGGAAAGAAAGCUGCGUGGAGACAGAGGCUGAGGUUGGAGCGGGACGUUUACAAGCCUUGGAAAGCCAGGGGCUGCGGGGAGCCACCAGAAGCUGGGAGAGGGGCCUGGAACAGAUCCCCCUCGGAGCCCCCAGGAGCAAACUCUGCCAUCACCUUGAUCUUGGACUUCUAGCACCCAGGACUGGGAGACAAGACAUUUCUGUUGUACCCAGUUUGUGGUCCUUUGCUACGGCAGCCCUGGGAGACUAAUACAGUCAUUUUAACAUUGUCCAGGUUUACCUUAAUCACAGUCUGUUUGCUAAAGAUAGUUCUUAUGGUGUGUGACAUACGCUUUAUCUUUAAACAGAUUCACUGUUCACCACCUGUGCCUUUAGCUGUGCACUCUCCCUUUUCUCUCCACAGUUAUGUCCUCAUCUUUGGACUCUCGGUGAAUUCCUUCCCCCUCCCUCCCCUCCUCCCUCCCUCCCCUUCCACCGUCCCCCUCCCUCUCCCCCUUCCCUCCCUCCCUCUGUGCUGGUUGCUGGCGUAGCUGCUCAGCGGGUCCUUUUCAUCUGACACCUGCUUGAGGAGCUCCCUCCAGACAUUCUGUUUGCCCCGAAUUAAAGCAGUGACUU
Long non-coding RNA from Orcinus orca (killer whale), 6661 nucleotides. RefSeq lists it as uncharacterized. The transcript has 5 exons. The record is from RefSeq and is a predicted model, not a curated record. Lineage: Eukaryota; Metazoa; Chordata; Mammalia; Artiodactyla; Delphinidae.